AACCGAGAUUCCCCCAGUAGCGGCGAGCGAACGGGGAGGAGCCCAGAGCCUGAAUCAGUGUGUGUGUUAGUGGAAGCGUCUGGAAAGGCGCGCGAUACAGGGUGACAGCCCCGUACACAAAAAUGCACAUGCUGUGAGCUCGAUGAGUAGGGCGGGACACGUGGUAUCCUGUCUGAAUAUGGGGGGACCAUCCUCCAAGGCUAAAUACUCCUGACUGACCGAUAGUGAACCAGUACCGUGAGGGAAAGGCGAAAAGAACCCCGGCGAGGGGAGUGAAAAAGAACCUGAAACCGUGUACGUACAAGCAGUGGGAGCCUCUUUAUGGGGUGACUGCGUACCUUUUGUAUAAUGGGUCAGCGACUUAUAUUCUGUAGCAAGGUUAACCGAAUAGGGGAGCCGAAGGGAAACCGAGUCUUAACUGGGCGUUAAGUUGCAGGGUAUAGACCCGAAACCCGGUGAUCUAGCCAUGGGCAGGUUGAAGGUUGGGUAACACUAACUGGAGGACCGAACCGACUAAUGUUGAAAAAUUAGCGGAUGACUUGUGGCUGGGGGUGAAAGGCCAAUCAAACCGGGAGAUAGCUGGUUCUCCCCGAAAGCUAUUUAGGUAGCGCCUCGUGAAUUCAUCUCCGGGGGUAGAGCACUGUUUCGGCAAGGGGGUCAUCCCGACUUACCAACCCGAUGCAAACUGCGAAUACCGGAGAAUGUUAUCACGGGAGACACACGGCGGGUGCUAACGUCCGUCGUGAAGAGGGAAACAACCCAGACCGCCAGCUAAGGUCCCAAAGUCAUGGUUAAGUGGGAAACGAUGUGGGAAGGCCCAGACAGCCAGGAUGUUGGCUUAGAAGCAGCCAUCAUUUAAAGAAAGCGUAAUAGCUCACUGGUCGAGUCGGCCUGCGCGGAAGAUGUAACGGGGCUAAACCAUGCACCGAAGCUGCGGCAGCGACGCUUAUGCGUUGUUGGGUAGGGGAGCGUUCUGUAAGCCUGCGAAGGUGUGCUGUGAGG
This 1002-nucleotide ribosomal RNA is filed under the name Escherichia coli. RNAcentral's name for it is "partial 23S ribosomal RNA". It matches the Rfam family "Bacterial large subunit ribosomal RNA", at positions 227 to 1268 of the family's 2925-position model. Lineage: Bacteria; Pseudomonadati; Pseudomonadota; Gammaproteobacteria; Enterobacterales; Enterobacteriaceae. The record is from RNAcentral.